GAGCGGAAAGGCCCUUCGGGGUACUCGAGCGGCGAACGGGUGAGUAACACGUGAGCAACCUGCCCCUAGCUCUGGGAUAGCUCCGGGAAACCGGGAUUAAUACCAGAUACGACCACUUUAGACAUCUUUUGUGGUGGAAAGGAUUCCGGCUAGGGAUGGGCUCGCGGCCUAUCAGCUUGUUGGUGGGGUAACGGCCUACCAAGGCGACGACGGGUAGCCGGCCUGAGAGGGCGACCGGCCACACUGGGACUGAGACACGGCCCAGACUCCUACGGGAGGCAGCAGUGGGGAAUAUUGCGCAAUGGGCGAAAGCCUGACGCAGCGACGCCGCGUGCGGGAUGAAGGCCUUCGGGUUGUAAACCGCUUUCAGCAGGGACGAAGCGAAAGUGGCGGUACCUGCAGAAGAAGCGCCGGCUAACUACGUGCCAGCAGCCGCGGUAAU
Molecule: ribosomal RNA, 442 nt
Filed under: uncultured bacterium
Lineage: Bacteria
Description: bacterial SSU rRNA
Rfam family: Bacterial small subunit ribosomal RNA
Source: RNAcentral